This 62-nucleotide small RNA is filed under the name Arabidopsis thaliana (thale cress). Its description in RNAcentral is "ATSL182240". The record is from RNAcentral. Lineage: Eukaryota; Viridiplantae; Streptophyta; Magnoliopsida; Brassicales; Brassicaceae.
AAAUCAAGCUCACUCUGUAUCCUUCUUCUUUCAUAUGAAUCAAUUGAUGAUAUCCGUAUCAA